This 69-nucleotide transfer RNA is filed under the name Streptomyces himastatinicus ATCC 53653. RNAcentral's name for it is "tRNA-Val". Lineage: Bacteria; Bacillati; Actinomycetota; Actinomycetes; Kitasatosporales; Streptomycetaceae. The record is from RNAcentral.
CGGCGCAGCCGGGUAUUGAUCGAACUUACAAGGCGAAUGUCGGCGGUUCGAACCCGUCUGCGCCCACCA